AUGAUGACGAAUUUCAUAAAAGAAGGGUCGCUGGCAGAGGCUGAUGAUAUGUUUUUAGCAAUGGAGAAGGCUGGCUGUGCUCCUGACUCCAGACUGCUAAAUCACGUGGUCAGAGUGUUGCUGGAGAAAGGUGCAGUUGUAAAGGCUGCAACUUAUCUCGCUAAACUUGAUGGAAAACAGCUGUCACUUGAAGCUUCGACGGUUUCGUUAAUUGUAUCUCUCUUCUCAAGGAAAGGGAAAUUAAGGGAGCAUGUAAAAUUGCUUCCGGUAAAGUACCAGCCUCCUGAGAGUUCGACUGACAAUUGA
RNAcentral lists this ribosomal RNA (306 nucleotides) under Triticum aestivum (bread wheat). RNAcentral's name for it is "partial small subunit ribosomal RNA". Lineage: Eukaryota; Viridiplantae; Streptophyta; Magnoliopsida; Poales; Poaceae. The record is from RNAcentral.